Molecule: long non-coding RNA, 2587 nt
Filed under: Sus scrofa (pig)
Lineage: Eukaryota; Metazoa; Chordata; Mammalia; Artiodactyla; Suidae
Description: lncRNA (ENSSSCG00060005162.1)
Source: RNAcentral
UUUNUUUUUUUUUUUUUUUUUUUUAGGACCACAUCCAUGACAUAUGGAGGUUCCCAGCCCUAAAAAGCAGAAAAAAUGAAAAACAAAAACAACAAAAAACAUAAAGCUGAAACUCAGCAAUGCUGGUACAAGUCAUUAUAAACUAUCACAUGGUUUAUAACAGAAACAGUCUUUCUCAACCACAAAAAAAAAAUGUCAGUUACAAUUAGAGAUUUUUUUCAAUUUUCAAAAGAUUGGGUCUCCACUAAGGAGGAUGUGAUAGUCUUGAUAUUCUGGAGUUGAAAAUAUGAAGAAAAGGAAAAAGGGACAUAUUGGUUGUGGAAAACGGAUAUAAACAAACCGAUACAAAUACAACACAAAACAAAGCAAUUAUUUUUUAUUGUGUUUGGCCAAAAAAGAUCCUAAGAAGAAAAGCAUAAAUUCUAAAUUCACUCCCAAAUAAAUCACUAACUAUAACAUUUUUAGACAUGCUCAUUGUUAAUGGGGUGUACAAGUCUAUAUCAGGAGACAAUUCUCCUUGUUCUCUUGUGUUUCUACACAUCUAUGAGGAGAGUACUGAUGGUAUUUAUUUUUGAAUAUCUUUUCAGAAUGUUUGUAUAGUCAACAGCCUUGGAUGGCAGAAAUAUAAUGUCUUCCUCUGAGCAAAGAGCAGGUUUACUUACAGCCUUUGAAGUUAGAGACAGUCUCUCUUUGGAGCAAUGUGAAGUCAUACUUAUUGCCCAUUAUGAGCACAGAAUUUCUCUUCUGUAAAGCAAUCCAUCAAAUGUACAGCUGUCCCCUGAAUCUUUUCAAGUUGUCCUGUGGAAAUUGGGGUCCAAGAAAACUGACACAAGAAAAAUGAUGAUGUCCUUGCCACUACUAUUGCUGUGGGUUAAAAAAUGUCCUUUGUUUCUGACCCAGGAGUCUCAUACCUUCUGUCAUGAAACUGUGGUAAGGCUAACUUGUUAUCCUGUAAGUAGGAUAAAAUUUUAGGACUUUCCCAGUUCUUGACCCAUUUUCCAGAUAAAUGGAACUUGAUGCCUUAAAUCUUAAAUAAAUUUGAAGCUCAUACUUCUGAAAUAGUCAGGUUUUAUAAAUUAUUAGCUAUAUGGUCUUGGAAAUGUUAUGUAAUCUCUCUAGGAUUCAGUUUCAUUGUUUGCAAAGUAAGGGUAAUAAUGUUUUUCCUGUCUCCUAGGAUUGUUGUGAUGAGUUGAAUGGAUAUAUGCAAAGUACUUAGAAGUGUGUCUCACAUUUAAUAGAUGUUUAAUUAAUGUUGGUUAUUAUAACUUUUUUUUUAAUUUAGGGGGAAAGAAUAUGAAAAGUUGCCCAUAAUUUCACCAUCAACUGCAUAGGUUGUUUUCAUUUUGAUACUCCUUCUGUUGUCUUUUGUUUUGAUAUUUAUUUCCAUAAUUUUAGUAUAUCUAGAACCACUCUUUGAAGAAAAGUUUUUUAAAAUAUAUUACAUAUUACAUUGGUUUUAUUUAGGUACUUUUGGUGGCAGAGAAAAGGGUUAUCCACAGUUUAAAUCUUGGCUCUCUGACCAAAGAUCUUGGACAUUAAGAUCAUCAGAAUGGUCCAAAGGAACAAAAAUUUGGAGAAAGAUGCCAUGUGUACUGAGCUUAUUGAGGAGUUUCAACUCUUUGAAAUGGGAACAUGAAGCUGUGAUGUAAACUAAUUUUUUCCCCCUUUUUCUUUUUAGGGCCACACUUAUGGCAUAUGGAAGUUUCCAGACUAGGGGCUGAAUCAGUAUUGCAUUGCCAGCCUGCACCACAGCCCUAGCAAUGUGGGAUCUGAGUCUCAUCUGCAACCUACACCACAGCUCACGGCAAUGCCGAAUCCUUAACCCACUGAGUGAGGCCAAGGAUAGAACCCCCAUCCUCAUGGAUACUAGUUGGGUUCAUAACCCACUGAGCCAUAACGAGAACUUCUAUGAUGUAAGCUACUUUUAAUUACAGUAUAACAAAUUGCCCUUUUCAUUCUUUGUGACAUUUCAUCAGAUUCCACUAAGUUUUUGUACACUUCAAAUAAAUAAUAUUGCCCAAUAAUAUAGCUGAUUCAAAGUCUUCACUAUCCAUGCUUCAUAACAAUUUACAAUUGUAUUUAGAUAGAACUGGAUAUGAAAGGAACAGCUGAUGACGUGCCACACUUUCUUUGUGGGCAGACUCCUCCAAUGGUGAAAGCAGGGAAAAGGAAUGAAUUUAUAAGCUAACUAGUUGUAUGUUGAUAUGGGAUGUGACCCUGCUUUUUAAUUUAUCCUAGUUUACCCUGGUACUAGUAGGUUCCCCCGUAGGUCGUGGGAAUGGUAUUUUGGGGAAUAACUUGAGCUUUACUCUUGCGUUCCCUGAUGCUAAUGAAUCCUCUUAGAGAGAAGUAUAUUAAUUUCCCUUCAAUUUUUCCAUUCAUAGAACUCUAGGUUUUCUUUCUCCAAUUUUUCCAUCUAACCUAUAUUUGAGAUGUAAAUUCAGAUGUUAAGUUUUCCCAAUGAAAGGCAAAAAUCUAAGAGUGAUUUUUCAAGGGCAGCUCUCUCCACACAGCCGCACACCCCAAGUUGACCAAAGCACUUGCAUGUAGGAAGACAUAGUCUCUCUGAAUCACUGUCUUCUCAAUG